This 325-nucleotide unclassified non-coding RNA is filed under the name soil metagenome. RNAcentral's name for it is "partial contains 5.8S ribosomal RNA, internal transcribed spacer 2, and large subunit ribosomal RNA". The stretch from base 1 to 120 matches the Rfam family "5.8S ribosomal RNA", at positions 35 to 154 of the family's 154-position model. The record is from RNAcentral.
GAUGAAGAACGUAGCGAAAUGCGAUAAGUAACGCGAAUUGCAGAAUUCAGUGAGUCAUCGAAUCUUUGAACGCACAUUGCGCCCUGUGGUAUUCCGCAGGGCAUGCCUGUUCGAGCGUCAUUUCAACCCUCAAGCCCCGCUUGGUGUUGGGCCCCGCCCGCCGUGGCCGGCCCUAAAGACAGUGGCGGCGCCGCCUGGCCCUCAGCGUAGUACAGCUCUCGCUCCAGGGUCCGGCGGCCGCCUGCCAGAACCCCCCCAACUCUGUGGUUGACCUCGGAUCAGGUAGGGAUACCCGCUGAACUUAAGCAUAUCAAUAAGCGGAGGA